RNAcentral lists this long non-coding RNA (1154 nucleotides) under Homo sapiens (human). RNAcentral describes it as "non-protein coding lnc-BATF-1:1". Lineage: Eukaryota; Metazoa; Chordata; Mammalia; Primates; Hominidae. The record is from RNAcentral.
UAAUGAGGCCAAGGGAGCCCGGCUCCUUUCUGCCCCCAGGCAGGUGAGAAAGAAAGAACGGAGACGAAAGAGGGCCCGCUGUGUCUACUCCUCUGGAAUAUCUGAGGCUAAGUCCCAAGCUAGAAUUUCCCAUCUUCUUUCUGGCCUUGGGAGAUUUUGCAUCUCCUUCCAGGGAAGGAAGCCUGACUUCUGAAAUGAUUCUCACGAAGGAGAAGUGCUCCGUUCUGCAGUGAGCCUGGCCAGGGGGGCCACACCACAGACUCCCAGGAGGCUUCUGCUCUGCGUGGUUCUUCUGCUCUCGUUUCCUUAACGAUUGGGCCAGAGCAUCUCUGCUCUUGUAAAAUAGCAGGCAAUUAGAUCUCGAAGUCUUUGAAGUGGGCAGAUUCACCAGGCGUUGGACUGAAGUUUCUAUUUGUCCUGGCACUGAGAAUAGCAAAGGAACAGGGGGACUGAACUGGUAUGGAAAGAGGCAUAGAGAGGUGAAGUCUCUUGCUGAUAUCUUCUAGACCGGGCUGGCUGCAGGGUCUGUUGCUCUCAACCAGAGGAAAUAGAACCAUGAAAGAACAAGGUAGGGUUUUCCUCCUUCUGCCAAACUGAGAUUCACAAAGUGGACUCUAGCAUUCUUCCUCUCUGCCAUUCCCUCCCACCAAAUUUACACCUGGGGAAACAGUGGCCCAGAGAGGGAAGGAGACCUUCCUACAAUCUCAGAGUCAAUUGGGGGCAAAGCUAGGACCAGAAUGCUGCCUCUCAACUCCCCCUCUCUCUCUCUCUCUCUCUCUCUCUCUCUCUGUCUCUCUCUCUUUCUUUAUUUCUCUCUCUUGUUGUUCACUCUCCAGGGAGCCAGUUGCCAUGUCAUGGGGAGGACACUCAGGCAGCCCCGUGGGGAGACUCAUGUGAGGAGGAACUGAGAUGUCUUGCCAACAUCCAUAUGAGGGAGCCAUCUUGUAAAUGAAUCUUCCAGUCCCAAUCAAGUCUUCAGAUGACCAGAGCCUCAGCUGAUAACUUGGCUGCAGCCUCAUGAGAGAUCCUGAGCCAGAACCACUCAGCCAAGGUGUUCCUAGAUUCCUGCCUCUCAAAAACUGUGUGAGAUAAUAGAUGCUUAUUGUUUAAAGUUGUUUAGGGUAACUCAUUGUGUAGCAAUAGAUAGCUGAAAC